UACGGGGGAUGCAAGCGUUAUCCGGAUUUAUUGGGCUUAAAGGGUGCGUAGGCUGUGAGGUAAGUCAGCGGUGAAAUGCCCCCGCUCAACGGGGUGAAGUGCCAUUGAUACUGCCUUGCUGGAAUGCGGAUGCCGUGGGAGGAAUGUGUGGUGUAGCGGUGAAAUGCAUAGAUAUCACACAGAACACCGAUUGCGAAGGCAUCUCACGAAUCCGCGAUUGACGCUGAUGCACGAAAGCGUGGGUAUCAAACAGG
RNAcentral lists this ribosomal RNA (254 nucleotides) under uncultured bacterium. RNAcentral's name for it is "partial 16S ribosomal RNA". It matches the Rfam family "Bacterial small subunit ribosomal RNA", at positions 524 to 776 of the family's 1533-position model. The record is from RNAcentral.